Long non-coding RNA from Arachis duranensis, 1189 nucleotides. RefSeq lists it as uncharacterized. The transcript is spliced from 5 exons. The record is from RefSeq and is a predicted model, not a curated record. Lineage: Eukaryota; Viridiplantae; Streptophyta; Magnoliopsida; Fabales; Fabaceae.
GCGAGAGGGAGCCGCCGCUGUUGGGUUGCAGUUCUGCCUCGCCGUCAUCCAUGGAGCCACGAGCCAUCCCUAGUCGCCAUCGCAUCAAACGCAGGAGUGGCCACUAUCGUUGCAGAGAAGUCGCACUGCCACCGUCGCAUCCUCGCUGCCAGCUUCGUCGGAUCUUGCCGUUGAACCCGUCCUUGCCGCCUCCAUUAGAGCCGCGAACAGGGGAGGGAGAAGAAGAUGCGAGCCAUGGCCGAGGGGGAGGAGGCACCGUGUCUGGUGGCUGCCGUCCUGUCACCACUGUCUACCUCUGUCACUGCCAAACUGCUGCUCUACGGUGCUUAGCUGGAGCUUUUGUUACUAUUGCCGGAGAUCUGUGGUUGCCAGAAAAUACCGCUGUUGUUGCUGCCGAAGGAGGAGGAAGCCUUGCCACUGUUCGGGCCGCCAGGAGCAGUCCUAUGGCCACCGAAACCAUUACCGAGGAUGCCACUACUUGGCUCAGCCACUUUUUCUUAGUUGCGCCGCCGUCUGGGUUACGUGGAGGGAAGAAGAGCCGCUGGGUGUCACCGUACCUUGCGUCCACCACCUCUAUCACCGAAAACAGCCGCUGAGUCCUCUGUAUUGGGUUGUGUAUUUGUGCUUGCCUUCCGUACUCGGAGUUUGCAGCUGCCUCGUUUUGUCAUUUCAGUAGACCUGUUUAUACUACUGCGAAAGUGUGUGUUGCUAUGCUUUGAAGCUGCCAUUGAUUUUGGGUCGAGACGAAAGGAUUUCUGAGAGGCAUUUGGGUUAUGGUUUCAAUUUGUCGAGUGGCUAGCCACCACGUGCUCCAGGUGGAAACUCGAUACUCUCCUGACCCUAUGUCGUAAGUGAGGCCAGACAUUGUGAAAGUUUUGGAUGAGCUCGUCCCCUUGAAUAUACACCAGUGAGGGUGUUGGAUGUGAAUUAUAAUUAUGAUUGUGAAUAACUCGAGUUGGGGAUGCACGACAGAGAGACAGUAUGAAAAGUAUGAAAAGCUAAUUUGGUUCAGCAUAAGAUAAGCCUUUUGAAAGGCUUUUAAAUUUUUAAGAAAUGAACAGUUUCUCUUUCAGAAAAGAUUUUAGAUUUAUUCUUUUAUAGUAAACCUUUGCUUUUGAAAAGAUGCAUAAGGCAGUUAUUAACACUGUAACGAUCUUAUCUCUCGUAUCUAUUAUAGUAAUUCUUCAAC